RNAcentral lists this ribosomal RNA (460 nucleotides) under uncultured bacterium. RNAcentral describes it as "partial 16S ribosomal RNA". It matches the Rfam family "Bacterial small subunit ribosomal RNA", at positions 338 to 795 of the family's 1533-position model. The record is from RNAcentral.
CCUACGUGAGGCAGCAGUGAGGAAUAUUGGUCAAUGGGCGCGAGCCUGAACCAGCCAAGUAGCGUGAAGGAUGACUGCCCUACGGGUUGUAAACUUCUUUUAUAAAGGAAUAAAGUGAGGCACGUGUGCCUUUUUGUAUGUACUUUAUGAAUAAGGAUCGGCUAACUCCGUGCCAGCAGCCGCGGUAACACGGAGGAUCCGAGCGUUAUCCGGAUUUAUUGGGUUUAAAGGGAGCGUAGAUGGGUUGGUAAGUCAGUUGUGAAAGUUUGCGGCUCAACCGUAAAAUUGCAAUUGAUACUGGCAGUCUUGAGGACAGUUGAGGUAGGCGGAAUUCGUGGUGUAGCGGUGAAAUGCUUAGAUAUCACGAAGAACUCCGAUUGCGAAGGCAGCUUACUAAACUGCCACUGACAUUGAUGCUCGAAAGUGUGGGUAUCAAACAGGAUUAGAUACCCUAGUAGUC